Molecule: ribosomal RNA, 841 nt
Filed under: uncultured phototrophic eukaryote
Lineage: Eukaryota
Description: bacterial SSU rRNA
Rfam family: Bacterial small subunit ribosomal RNA
Source: RNAcentral
GGGGGGGAAUGCGCUGCCUACACAUGCAGUCGAACGAGGUGUAUACUUUAGUGUGCGGACGGGUGAGUAAUACGUGAGAAUUUACCUUUGGGAACGUGAUAAGAAUUGGAAACUAUUGCUGGUGUCCUAUGUGCUUAGCAGUGAAACACAUUUAUCUGCCUGAAUAUGAGCUCUCGCCUGAUUAGCUAGUUGGUAGAGUAAAAGCCUACCAGGGAAACGAUCAGUAGCUGGUUAGAGAGGACUAUCAUCCACACUGGAACUGACACACUGCCCAUACUUCUACGGAAGGAAUCAUUGGGGAAUUUUCCGCGAUGAACGAAGGCUUGAGGGAGCAAUACCGCGUGAGGGAAGAAUGCCUGUGGGUUGUAAACCUCUUUUUUUAGGGAAGAAAAUAUGACGGUAACUAAGGAAUAAGCAUCGGAUAACUCCGUGCCAGCAUCCGCGGUAAUACGGGGGAUGCUAGCGUUAUCCGGAAUUACUGGCCGUAAAGCGGCUGCAGGUGGCUUAGAAAGUCUGCUGUUAAAUAUUACAGCUCAACUCUGAGUAAGCACUGGAAACUGUUAUGCUAGAGUAUGAUAUGGAUAAAGGGAACUCCCGGUGUAACGCUGAAAUGCGUAGAUAUUGUCAAGAACACCGGUAGCGAAAGCGCUUUACUAGACCAUUACUGACACUCAGAGACGACAGCUAGGGCAGCAAAUGGGAUUAGAUACACCAGUAGACCUACUCGUAAACGAUGGAUACUACAUGUUGCGUGUAUCGACCCAUGCAGUAUCUCUACUAAGGCGUUAAUUAUCCCGCCUGGGAACUAUGCUCGCAAGAGUGAAACUCAGAUGAAUUGACG